This 467-nucleotide ribosomal RNA is filed under the name uncultured bacterium. Its description in RNAcentral is "partial 16S ribosomal RNA". It matches the Rfam family "Bacterial small subunit ribosomal RNA", at positions 28 to 507 of the family's 1533-position model. The record is from RNAcentral.
GAUGAACGCUGGCGGCGUGCUUAACACAUGCAAGUCGAACGGUGAAGCAGAGCUUGCUCUGUGGAUCAGUGGCGAACGGGUGAGUAACACGUGAGCAACCUGCCCCUGACUCUGGGAUAAGCGCUGGAAACGGCGUCUAAUACUGGAUAUGAGCUGCGACCGCAUGGUCAGCAGUUGGAAAGAUUUUUCGGUCUGGGAUGGGCUCACGGCCUAUCAGCUUGUUGGCGAGGUAAUGGCUCACCAAGGCGUCGACGGGUAGCCGGCCUGAGAGGGUGACCGGCCACACUGGGACUGAGACACGGCCCAGACUCCUACGGGAGGCAGCAGUGGGGAAUAUUGCACAAUGGGCGAAAGCCUGAUGCAGCAACGCCGCGUGAGGGAUGACGGCCUUCGGGUUGUAAACCUCUUUUAGCAGGGAAGAAGCGAAAGUGACGGUACCUGCAGAAAAAGCGCCGGCUAACUACGUG